GGCCUUUUGAUUAUAAUUUAAGGUCUGACCUGCCCAAUGAAUUUAUUUUUAAAUGGCUGCGGUAUUUUGACCGUGCAAAGGUAGCAUAAUCAUUAGUUUUUUAAUUGAAAGCUUGUAUGAAAGGUUUGAUGAGAAAAUAACUGUCUCUAGUUAAAUUUAUUAGAAUUUUAUUUUUAAGUCAAAAAGCUUAAAUAUAUAUUGAAGACGAGAAGACCCUAUAGAAUUUUAUAUUUUGUUAUAAUUUAAUUUUAAUAGAUUUUUAUAAUUAAAUUAUAAUUAAAUAUUUGGUUGGGGUGACAGAAAAAUUAAAUAAACUUUUUUUUUAUUAAAUCAUUAAUUUAUGAAUAUUUGAUCCAAAUUUUUUUGAUUAAAAGAAUAAAUUACCUUAGGGAUAACAGCGUUAUUUUUUUUUAGAGUUCAAAUCGAAAAAAAAGAUUGCGACCUCGAUGUUGGAUUAAAAUAAAAAAUUGGUGUAGGGGCUAAUUGAUUAGGUCUGUUCGACCUUUAAAAUUUUACAUGAUCUGAGUUUAAACCGGCG
RNAcentral lists this ribosomal RNA (538 nucleotides) under Zascelis sp. ARC3954. RNAcentral's name for it is "partial 16S large subunit ribosomal RNA". It matches the Rfam family "Bacterial large subunit ribosomal RNA", at positions 1819 to 2621 of the family's 2925-position model. The record is from RNAcentral. Lineage: Eukaryota; Metazoa; Arthropoda; Insecta; Coleoptera; Curculionidae.